This 72-nucleotide transfer RNA is filed under the name Lachnospiraceae bacterium. RNAcentral describes it as "tRNA-Met". It matches the Rfam family "tRNA". Rfam says of the family: Transfer RNA (tRNA) molecules are approximately 80 nucleotides in length. Their secondary structure includes four short double-helical elements and three loops (D, anti-codon, and T loops). Further hydrogen bonds mediate the characteristic L-shaped molecular structure. tRNAs have two regions of fundamental functional importance: the anti-codon, which is responsible for specific mRNA codon recognition, and the 3' end, to which the tRNAs corresponding amino acid is attached (by aminoacyl-tRNA synthetases). tRNAs cope with the degeneracy of the genetic code in two manners: having more than one tRNA (with a specific anti-codon) for a particular amino acid; and 'wobble' base-pairing, i.e. permitting non-standard base-pairing at the 3rd anti-codon position. Lineage: Bacteria; Bacillati; Bacillota; Clostridia; Lachnospirales; Lachnospiraceae. RNAcentral also lists the same sequence under 4 other names. The record is from RNAcentral.
GGAUACUUAAUUCAGGGGCAGAAACACCAGCUCAUAACUGGUAAGUCAUCGGUUCGAUUCCGAUAGUAUCCA